GCUAACUGCCAAACCACCCUUGUAGGAAGCCAAGGAUGUUUGAGGAGCCACAGAACCUUCCCUGUCCGGUGUGGAGAGAGAGCUGAGAGUGAGAAGAGGAUCAGCAGGGUGUGCUUUCUUUCAAUUUACUUAUGAUCUUACCUGGUCCUGGCACACCUUUUUUGUUGUUGUUGUUGUUGUUGUUGUUGUUGUUUUGGUACCGGGAUCAAACUCGGGUCCUUGUGCUUGCACAGCAGGUGGUGAAACCACUGAGCUAAAUCCCCAGCCCUGUUGUUGUUUGUUUUUUGUUACAAGGUCUUGCUAUGUGGUUCAGGCUGGCCUUCAACUCACUAUGUAGCACAGGCUGGACUCAAAUUUGCAGAGAUCCUCCUGUCUCAGCCUCCCAAGUGCUAGGAUUACAGAAAAGAAAACUGAGCCUGGAAGUUUAUCAAGGCAAGAUAGAAACAAUCCAGCCAUGUAACCUCCAGCAGAUGGACACAUGCUUACUUCGGGCAAGAUGGGCAACACUUGCCCUCCUCCCUGAGAGCCUCUCCAUACCCAGGGCAAGCUGGCUGGGAGCGCAUUUUCCCUGGCUGAAUCCUGUCUCCAGCCCAGAGUCCCUCCUGGAGCAGCCAGCACAAUUAUGCCCACUUUCCUCUCUGAAAUGGUUGACCUGCAUUUCUGAGUUGCUGGUAAAAUAAAUUAAAAGUAACAUUUUGCUUUGUUGUUUUCAUUUCUUAUUCCAUUUCCAGCCAUGUGAUGUCUUAUGAAUCCCUUUUUGCUUUUCUUACUCCACCUCAACAGUCAGCACAGUGAGAGAGAGG
Molecule: long non-coding RNA, 803 nt
Filed under: Heterocephalus glaber (naked mole-rat)
Lineage: Eukaryota; Metazoa; Chordata; Mammalia; Rodentia; Bathyergidae
Description: lncRNA (ENSHGLG00000048794.1)
Source: RNAcentral